AGCCCAGCCCUAUUUAAAGCCUUGUUCCGUGUGCCCCUUUUAUACUUUGAGCACCUGCCCCUCCAAAGGUCUCAGCAUGGCAGGGAACCGAACUGUAGUCCACUUGGAAGAGAACCUGUUGAUCUCUUUCAUACUUUUGCUCAACUUGCUCAUCAGUGUUGUUCAUGAACGCGCUAAAAGAGCCUGUUCAUUAAACCUUUUCAGAUUGAAGGCUUUAAACCUCUAUCAUUUUAAUCUUGUUGCACACCAUAAUAAGACUUGUGCCUAAGAUAGAAAAUAUAUCAUCUUUCAGAACCAUGAAGGCUCCAUAAUUUCACACUCUGAAAUGUACACAAAACAACCGUUCAAACACAAGCUAGGAGCUACGAUCACUUUUUGGCAAGUGGAAACGUGCAUUUUAUGGAUGUAUUGCUUCUUAAAGAAUGUAUUUAAACUGGU
Long non-coding RNA from Perca fluviatilis (European perch), 438 nucleotides. RefSeq lists it as uncharacterized. Lineage: Eukaryota; Metazoa; Chordata; Actinopteri; Perciformes; Percidae. The transcript has 2 exons. The record is from RefSeq and is a predicted model, not a curated record.